RNAcentral lists this ribosomal RNA (119 nucleotides) under Aegilops tauschii subsp. strangulata. Lineage: Eukaryota; Viridiplantae; Streptophyta; Magnoliopsida; Poales; Poaceae. The record is from RNAcentral.
GGAUGCGGUCAUACCAGCACUAAAGCACCGGAUUCCAUCAGAACUGCAAAGUUAAGCGUGCUUGGGCGAGAGUAGUACUAGGAUGGGUGACCACUUGGGAAGUACUCGUGUUGCAUUCC